This 405-nucleotide ribosomal RNA is filed under the name uncultured bacterium. RNAcentral describes it as "bacterial SSU rRNA". It matches the Rfam family "Bacterial small subunit ribosomal RNA", at positions 355 to 775 of the family's 1533-position model. The record is from RNAcentral.
UAAGGGAUAUUGCGCGAAUGGACGAAAGUCUGACGCAGCAACGCCGCGUGCGGGAGGAAGGCCUUCGGGUCGUAAACCGCUUUUCGAGGUGAAGAGCGAGGACGGUAGCCUCGGAAGAAGUCUCGGCUAACUACGUGCCAGCAGCCGCGGUAAAACGUAGGAGGCGAGCGUUAUCCGGAUUUACUGGGUGUAAAGCGCGUGCAGGCGGUUGGAUAAGUGUGAUGUGAAAGCGCCUGGCUCAACCGGGCGAGGACGUCGCAGACUGUUCGACUGGAGGCAGGGAGAGGUCUGUGGAAUUCCGGGUGUAGUGGUGAAAUGCGUAGAGAUCCGGAGGAACACCAGUGGCGAAGGCGGCAGACUGGCCCUGACCUGACGCUCAGACGCGAAAGCACGGGGAGCGAACGG